RNAcentral lists this ribosomal RNA (497 nucleotides) under uncultured bacterium. Its description in RNAcentral is "bacterial SSU rRNA". It matches the Rfam family "Bacterial small subunit ribosomal RNA", at positions 1 to 518 of the family's 1533-position model. The record is from RNAcentral.
AGAGGUUUGAUUAUGGCUCAGGAUGAACGCUGGCGGCGUGCAUAACACAUCAAGUCGAACGGUGAAGGAAGCUUGCUUCCGGAUCAGUGGCGGACGGGUGAGUAACGCGUGAGCAACCUGCCCUGCAUUGGGGGAUAACACAGGGAAACUUGUGCUAAUACCUCAUGACACAUACUUAUCGCAUGUUAGGUAUGUCAAAGAGCAAUCGAUGCAGGAUGGGCUCGCGUAUGAUUAGGUAGUUGGCGGGGUAAGGGCCCACCAAGCCUGCGAUCAUUAGCCGAACUGAGAGGUUGAACGGCCACAUUGGAACUGAGAAACGGUCCAGACUCCUACGGGAGGCAGCAGUGGGGAAUAUUGGGCAAUGGGCGAAAGCCUGAACCCCCAGCGACGCCGCGUGAGGGAAGACGGUCUUCGGAUUGUAAACCUCUUUCAGCAGGGAAGAAGAAAGUGACGGUACCUGCAGAAGAAGUCACGGCUAACUACGUGCCAGCCGCCGC